Molecule: long non-coding RNA, 1357 nt
Filed under: Homo sapiens (human)
Lineage: Eukaryota; Metazoa; Chordata; Mammalia; Primates; Hominidae
Description: non-protein coding lnc-GGPS1-4:1
Source: RNAcentral
CUAAAAAUACAAAAUUAGCCGGGCGUGGUGGUGCCUGCCCUGUAAUCCCAGCUACUCGGAGGCUGAGGCAGGAGAAUCGCUCAAACCCGGGAGGCAGAGGUUGGGGUAAGCUGAGAUCUUGCCAUUGCACUCCAGCCUGGGCAACAAGAGCGAAACUCUGUCUCAAAAAAAAUAGUAAAAAUUAGGCCGGGUGCGGUGGCUCACGCUUGUAACCCCAGCACUUUGGGAGGCCGAGGCGGGCGGAUCAUGAGGUCAGGAGAUCGGGACCAUCCUGUCUAACACGGUGAAACCCUCGGGAGGCAAAGCGUGCAGUGAGCCAAGAUGGCGCCACUGCACUCCAGCGUGGGCGACAAAGCAAGACUCCGCUUCAAAAAAAAAAAAAAAAAAGUAAAUUAAAAUAAAUUAAAUAAAUUAAAAUAAUUAAAAUAAAUUAAAAUAAAUUAAAAUAAAAUUGUAGCAUUGUAUAAAUGAGUUAGCACUAAAGAUAAAAUAUAUACAAUUUAAGACAGUAUUAUAACGAUUAAGAAAAAAUCUGAGUAUAAAUUCUGAUAGUUCAGAGGAAGGCAAGAGAGGAUCCAGCACCGUGAGAAUGUCAUUAAUAUUGGGAGAAAUUCUCAAUUUAUUGAGACUGAAAGUCACCUAUGAGUAUCAAUUUAAUGAGGAAGUUGGAAGAAUUUGAUGCAGUUUCCUGUGUCACAUCAUGGCUCCAAUAGGAAUAUAUUAUUUAGCUAGUGACUGCUGCAACAAACCAAAGAUCACACCAGUAAUUCCCAGCUGGCUUGGAAUGUCAUAGCAUAUAUGGACAAUUAAUGUUUCCUGACUUACUGGAUCUGUUCUUUCAGCCCAUCUUGCACACAACUGCCAGAUUAAUAUUACUGCUUUUUAUGUUGAAUACCUCUGUUCAAAAAUCCUUUGUAGGACAAACACCUUAGCUUCACUGUCAAAGCUCUCUAUAAUCUGCUUCCCGUCUUAUCUCCCAUCAUUCCUUAAUAGGGUUUACUUCACCUAACCCUAUCUAUUCAUUCUUAACUAAAGAUAUCCAGCCAGGUGCAGUGGCUCAAGCCUGUAAUCCCAGCAUUUUGGGAGGCCGAGGCAGAAAGAUCGCUGGAGGCCAGGAAUUCAAGACCAACCUAGGCAAAAUGAAGAAACCUCAUCUCCACAAAAAAUAGACAUAAAAAAAUUAGCCAGUUGCUCCUGCAUGUGUCUGUCAGGUGAAUCCCUUGAAGUCAGGAGUUCAAGACCACCAUGGCCAACAUGGCAAAACCCCAUCUCUACUAAAUAUGCAAUAAUUAGCCGAGUGUGGUGGCACAUGCCUGUAGUCCCAGCUACUCAGGAGACUGAGGCAGGAGAAUCCCUU